UACGAAGGAGGCUAGCGUUGUUCGGAAUUACUGGGCGUAAAGCGCGUGUAGGCGGGCCGUUAAGUCGGGGGUGAAAGCCCAGAGCUCAACUCUGGAACUGCCUUCGAUACUGGCGGCCUGGAGCAUGAUAGAGGCGAGUGGAAUUGCGAGUGUAGAGGUGAAAAUCGUAGAUAUUCGCAGGAAAACCAGUGGCGAAGGCGACUCGUUGGAUCAUUGCUGACGCUGAGACGCGAAAUCGUGGGGAGCAAACAGG
This 253-nucleotide ribosomal RNA is filed under the name uncultured bacterium. RNAcentral's name for it is "partial 16S ribosomal RNA". It matches the Rfam family "Bacterial small subunit ribosomal RNA", at positions 524 to 776 of the family's 1533-position model. The record is from RNAcentral.